Molecule: small nucleolar RNA, 62 nt
Filed under: Drosophila virilis
Lineage: Eukaryota; Metazoa; Arthropoda; Insecta; Diptera; Drosophilidae
Description: snoRNA:GJ25512
Source: RNAcentral
CAUGAUGAUUCCUAUCUAAUCUUUCGGGUAUGAAAUGCAAUGAUUUCAACUUCACAACUGAC